RNAcentral lists this unclassified non-coding RNA (347 nucleotides) under soil metagenome. Its description in RNAcentral is "partial contains 5.8S ribosomal RNA, internal transcribed spacer 2, and large subunit ribosomal RNA". The stretch from base 1 to 119 matches the Rfam family "5.8S ribosomal RNA", at positions 35 to 154 of the family's 154-position model. The record is from RNAcentral.
GAUGAAGAACGUAGCGAAAUGCGAUAAGUAAUGUGAAUUGCAGAAUUCAGUGAAUCAUCGAAUCUUUGAACGCACAUUGCGCCCCCUGGUAUUCCGGGGGCAUGCCUGUCCGAGCGUCAUUGCUGCCCUCAAGCACGGCUUGUGUGUUGGGCCCCGCCCCCCGGCUCCCGGGGGGCGGGCCCGAAAGGCAGCGGCGGCACCGCGUCCGGUCCUCGAGCGUAUGGGGCUUCGUCACCCGCUCCGUAGGCCCGGCCGGCGCCCGCCGGCGACCCCCCUCAAUCUUUUCAGGUUGACCUCGGAUCAGGUAGGGAUACCCGCUGAACUUAAGCAUAUCAAUAAGCGGAGGA